This 248-nucleotide ribosomal RNA is filed under the name uncultured bacterium. RNAcentral describes it as "partial 16S ribosomal RNA". It matches the Rfam family "Bacterial small subunit ribosomal RNA", at positions 15 to 252 of the family's 1533-position model. The record is from RNAcentral.
GAUCAUGGCUCAGGAUGAACGCUAGCUACAGGCUUAACACAUGCAAGUCGAGGGGCAUCAGUUUGGUUUGCUUGCAAACCAAAGCUGGCGACCGGCGCACGGGUGAGUAACACGUAUCCAACCUACCUCAUACUCGGGGAUAGCCUUUCGAAAGAAAGAUUAAUAUCCGAUAGCAUAUAUUUCCCGCAUGGGUUUUAUAUUAAAGAAAUUCGGUAUGAGAUGGGGAGGGUGCGUUCCAUUAGUUUUGG